Non-coding RNA from Trichonephila clavata, 88 nucleotides. The record is from the annotation of a GenBank genome assembly. NCBI's taxonomy places the organism in Eukaryota, Metazoa, Arthropoda, Arachnida, Araneae, Nephilidae.
GUCAGGAUGGCCGAGUGGUAUAAGGAGGAACCAGAUUUAAACUUUGGUUCGCGAGAGAGAGCGUGGGCUCGGAACCCCACUCCUGACA